RNAcentral lists this long non-coding RNA (1054 nucleotides) under Phascolarctos cinereus (koala). Its description in RNAcentral is "lncRNA (ENSPCIG00000032222.1)". Lineage: Eukaryota; Metazoa; Chordata; Mammalia; Diprotodontia; Phascolarctidae. The record is from RNAcentral.
CGUGAAUGCGAAGAGGGGCAGAGGGAGGAAGGCAGCGUAGACCAGCACGGAGGUGAACCAGCGCAGUGCGUUACCGGCCCCGCAUCUCCUACCACAGUCCCCGCCGCCGACCACGUCCACCUCGGCGUCCGUCCCCAGCGGCUGCCCAGCCUCGGAGGGCCCCGCCGGGAGGAGCCGUUGUCCGGUCGGGGCCGGGACCCCGCCGCGCUGCAGCUCCAGCUCCUCCACCUCUGCGGCGCCCGAGAAGCAGCCGCACCGACACAGAGCCGCCGGCUUACUGCGGUGUCUGCUACGGAGGCACGGGGCGCGGCCGGCCCGUUCCCGCCCCCUCGGCUGCACCCUGAUCCGCCCUCGGCCCGCGGGCACCACCCUCCCCAGCAGCGCGUGGAACCGCUAGGCAGCCCGCAUGCGCCGCCACGCCCCCCGCUGGUUUCUACAGGGGGAACCCAGUCUGAGGGGCCAGAUUGGGCGAGGGGUUAAAAGGGUGCGGGCCUGGGCUUGGUCUGUCAAAUGAGGGAUGGAGGCCAUCUGAAGGCCUUUCUGUGCCUCUGUCUGCCAUACUGUGAUGCCUUAACAGAACAUACACACAAUCUUGCUCAGUGAAUUAAAGUAUGUUUUCAGUAAUUUUUUUCUUCCAAAAAUGUCAAUAACUUCAGGGUUUGAUUUUCAUUUUGAUGUAAAAGCUAAAAGCUUUUUAAAGAAACAAAUUUCAAUUAAGGGUUGUUUUUCCAGUACCUUGUGACGACCCUCCUGAACUUGAGGCCAUCCUAGAGUCUCUUUCUCUUAUCUUGAGAUACCAUAAAACUUCCCCCCUAUACUGAACCCUAAAAAUUCCUUGCCUCCCUCAUCCCGAGUCAGAAUUUCCCAUCUUCCUCAUCCUGAGUCACCUGUCCUGUCAUCCAUGUUCCUCAUCCUGUGUCAUGAAGAUCCCUCCCCUUAUAUUGUAAGAUAAAACAGAUCCCUAUGCUUCUGUAAGUUGCUAGUCCUCUUUCCAGGGCUAGCCUGCUGCGUUUGCGUCAAUAAAGCUCCCAGCAUUUAUAGAGAAGGUCUAAGU